UGGGGAAUUUUGGGCAAUGGGCGAAAGCCUGACCCAGCAACGCCGCGUGAAGGAUGAAGUAUUUCGGUAUGUAAACUUCGAAAGAAUAGGAAGAAUAAAUGACGGUACUAUUUAUAAGGUCCGGCUAACUACGUGCCAGCAGCCGCGGUAAUACGUAGGGACCAAGCGUUGUUCGGAUUUACUGGGCGUAAAGGGCGCGUAGGCGGCAAUUCAAGUCAUCUGUGAAAUCUCCGGGCUUAACUCGGAACGGUCAGAUGAUACUGCUUUGCUAGAGUGCAGAAGGGGCAAUCGGAAUUCUUGGUGUAGCGGUGAAAUGCGUAGAUAUCAAGAGGAACACCUGAGGUGAAGACGGGUUGCUGGGCUGACACUGACGCUGAGGCGCGAAAGCCAGGGGAGCAAACGGGAUUAGGAUACCCUUGUAGUCCCUGAGCGGGCUGGCAAGGCGCAU
RNAcentral lists this ribosomal RNA (448 nucleotides) under uncultured bacterium. Its description in RNAcentral is "bacterial SSU rRNA". It matches the Rfam family "Bacterial small subunit ribosomal RNA", at positions 355 to 825 of the family's 1533-position model. The record is from RNAcentral.